AACGUGCCCAGAUCUACGGAAUAGCCACUGGAAACGGUGAGUAAUACCGUAUACGCCCUUCGGGGGAAAGAUUUAUCGGAUUUGGAUCGGCCCGCGUUAGAUUAGGUAGUUGGUGGGGUAACGGCCUACCAAGCCUACGAUCUAUAGCUGGUUUUAGAGGAUGAUCAGCAACACUGGGACUGAGACACGGCCCAGACUCCUACGGGAGGCAGCAGUGGGGAAUCUUGGACAAUGGGGGCAACCCUGAUCCAGCCAUGCCGCGUGAGUGAAGAAGGCCCUAGGGUCGUAAAACUCUUUCGCCUGUGAUGAUAAUGACAGUAGCACGUAAAGAAACCCCGGCUAACUCCGUGCCAGCAGCCGCGGUAAUACGGAGGGGGUUAGCGU
Molecule: ribosomal RNA, 384 nt
Filed under: uncultured bacterium
Lineage: Bacteria
Description: bacterial SSU rRNA
Rfam family: Bacterial small subunit ribosomal RNA
Source: RNAcentral